UACGGAGGGUGCAAGCAUUAAUCGGAAUUAUUGGGCGUAAAGGGCGCGUAGGCGGAUGUGUAAGUCAGAUGUGAAAUUCCAAGGCUCAACCUUGGAGCUGCAUUUGAAACUACACAUCUAGAGGAUUGGCGGAGAAAAUGGAAUUCCACAUGUAGCGGUGAAAUGCGUGGAUAUGUGGAAGAACACCGGUGGCGAAAGCGAUUUUCUAGCUUAUUCCUGACGCUGAGGCGCGAGAGCAAGGGGAGCAAACAGG
RNAcentral lists this ribosomal RNA (253 nucleotides) under uncultured bacterium. RNAcentral describes it as "partial 16S ribosomal RNA". It matches the Rfam family "Bacterial small subunit ribosomal RNA", at positions 524 to 776 of the family's 1533-position model. The record is from RNAcentral.